GUUAAGUUUGAGAGGUAACCAAUUGCUGUUUCUCAUAUCAAUGUUUCUCUCUCCCUUUCUAAAAUCAAUAAACAUAUCCCUGGGUGAGGAUUUUUUAAAAACAACUUGAAAAUUGAAUAACACCAGAAGAUGGCAAUCUGCUCCACAUCCUGAGCAAGUGAAAUGGGGAAGCUGGACUCACCCAUUCACGGUCAUGUGAUUCUCCUGCAGAUGAACCACUGUCGGUUGUUUUUCUUUUCCUCUUACCCUGUCCCAUAGCUCUUUGCUUUUCUUGUUUGUUGCCCUUAUCACAUGUUUUUAUUUUAGAAUAUGUAGUAUUUACCUUCAUUUUCUCUUAUUUCUAUUGUCCUCAUCCUUGUUUGCUCUUCCUUCUACCUCCAGAAGAGGUAGAGAACCUACUUCCUUUUUUCCAAGACCUUUUUUCCAAGUGAUUGAUCCACUUUCCUCCCUCAGGCUCCUUCCUGAGAGUCUUCUAGAAGGGAGAAGAGGGAAAAGAAACGUUUCUGGUGGAGACAAACAAGGAGCUCCCAGGUAACCAGCUCGCCACCCCCUCCGUUAAUGAUUUCUCAAAGAAAAAUUUCCAGAAUCUCCUCUUCCUUAGUAAGUGAGAGAGUGCAUGCACAUGUAUCCAUAUAUGCCAUUUGGAAUACAGGAUGGCGCUUUUUACCAUGUCCCUCCUGUCCAAAGCUUAAUCUUUUGAAGAAGGGUGUCUGAAAGAGAGGAACUCUGAGUCAUUCCUCAAACAACAAAUGCCCAUGUGAACGUCUUCCUUAUCUGGUGAAGAAAACAAUUUUGUGCAUCUUAUGGAUCACCUUCAGGUCAAAGUUCCAGUGGAGGGAAGAGAGAAACUACUGGAAGUCACCAAGCAAUGCACUUAAUAGUUACCAGUGAAGAGCCCAAGGGAGGAUAAUGGAGAGGGGGAUUGGGUCAAGGGUAAAUUCUUGCUUAAAGUGUUUAUGUUACUCUUACGUUGAAUUAACAGUUGUAAUAGCUGACAUUUGUUUACUUAUCCACUAAAAUCAGGUGUUUUGAAUGCAUUAUAAUCCUCAAAACAACCAUAUGACUUGAGUAAUAAUAUCCCUGUUGUAGAGAUGGGGAAACAGCUCAGAAAAACUCAGUAAUUGGUUUGAGAUCACAUAGCUACUAAAUGGCAGAGCUUGGAUUUUGAACCCAGGAAGUCUCUAGGUAGGGGAUGGCUAUAAAUGCAGCCCAACACAAAAUCGUAAAUUUACUUAAACCCUUUCUUUUUUUCUCAUCAGUUUGCUUUAGUGUUUGUGUGUUUAGUGUGUGGCCCAAUAGAACUCUUCUUCCAGUGUGACCCAAAGAUGGCAAAAGGUUGAACACUCCUGCUAGAGCCUCUGCAUAACCAUGAUAUUGUAUUUUUUUCCUUUAAAACAAAAUUAGCCCUGGCUUAUAUGGUUCACUUGUUUGGAGCAUCAUUUCCAUGCACUGAAAGGUCGCAGAUUAAAUUCUCAGGGCAUAUACCUGUGUUGCAGGUUCAGUCCCUUGUCAGGGUGGGUAUGGGAGGCAAUCGAUGGAUAUUUCUCUCCCAUUGAUGUUUCCUUCUCUCUUCUUCCCACCCCCCUAUACGCACACACACAUGCACAUAUCCCUUCCUCUCUCUAAAAUUAAUGAGUGUAUCCAUCCUCAGGUGAGGAUUAAAAAAAUAAAACAAAAACCUUGCCAUAUAUCCUCUCUAAUUAAGCGGGAUUGGGUGGGGGACAGUUUCUAAUUGUGUUCUACCUUCCCAUCCUCCCAGUCUCCUGAACUAGCUUGGAGAAAGGAAAGCACUGGGGGGUCCCAAGCUUCAGCUCCUCCUAGGAGCUGCUGCUACCUCCUGUACCAAUGUCCCACUUCUUCAGGAUCAGCAAGGGACUAACCCACCUGCCUGCUAGAGAACUUGCAACCCAUUGGAACCCAUACAGUCAGAUUUCCCUGGUCCUUAGCCAGCCCUUUAUGCCUGAUGGUGUGCCACUUGCCUUAACACUGUCCCCACUAGCCUUGUUGCCUAAAAUUUCCUGCUACAAGGAUCCCUGACGAAGACAAUUGCUGGAUGCUCUGUGCUUGGGCCCUCUGAAAGCCCUGGUAUUAGUGGAUAAAUAUAAGCUGGUUGGGGGCAGGGAACCAGGGAUAAUCCAUUCUCUGGAAGAAGUACUAUGGCUCAAUUAUGCCCCCUCUCACAGCUUUAUAGUCUCAACACAUGAGUCUCCUGGUUCUUUCCCUAUAGAGAUGCCCCAGGACCUGGAGGUAAACUGAUAGCCUAAGCUGACUUGGGGAAACAGUAGGAGUGUUAGGUAUUGUGGAGAGGACUGUUCUCUACAGGCUGAUAAUUAUGAAUGGGAGCUGUGAACUGGAAAGUGCCAUAAGGUAACUAUUAGCAUGAUCAGGGGCUUGGAUCCUUGAAGCAACACAGUAGGUACACUGUUGCCCCUUCCUGUCAUCCACAUGUCAGAUGUCAGAUAGCCUUCCUUGUUCUUUGUUUUUCUUUGAGUCUACCUGAUCAUUUCUCUUCAUAAUAAGCCCUAAUUUCUCAAUUUUCCAAUCUUAACUUCCACAUGCCUUGCUUCUAACUCCUGUCUCGGGAGCUCUUCCGGGUCCUUCCAAUGCACAGGUCACAGAAUCAGACCUAGAAAAAGACUUACCUUUAGAGGUCCAGGCUCCUGUACAGAUGGGGAUGUAGAUCCAGAGAUGAGAAGGGUCAGAGAAUUUUCUUUAGUACAGCUCAAGACAGGGCUUAAACCCAGGCCUCCUAACCACAUCUCAUCUCCAGGCUAUGAAACAGGCCUCUGCAAGACCCACUUUUUAUGGCAAGGGAUAUAACAUCAAAAAUGUUUGAUUUUCUGCUACUACUUUCUAUCCCUUUCCUUAUCUAGGCAUAAGAAGAAAUGAAAGAGACUUAUUUUUUUCUCUGUUCCCAGCCUUGGCACUUCUUUUGGUAAUAUUGCUAAAGAAAAGUAAAGUUGCUAAAAUGAUUGAAUAGUCCACCCAUUGAAUAGCUAACCUGGCUAGGAAAGUUUGCUAUGUGAAACCCCUGCAAACCACUGUUAUCAGGCCAUCCCAGAGCCUCCCCAGGCUCUUCAUAAUGCAGCCCUAUUCACUGGGCCCCAAACACACCAGUAUUGUGCCUCACUGCUGGCCGCUGCUUGCACCAGCCUUCCCUUCUGGAUAAAAGACCUCAUGUUUUAAAUAAAGUGGAAAUGUAAAAAGAA
Molecule: long non-coding RNA, 3209 nt
Organism: Phyllostomus discolor (pale spear-nosed bat)
Lineage: Eukaryota; Metazoa; Chordata; Mammalia; Chiroptera; Phyllostomidae
Exons: 2
Source: RefSeq, a predicted model, not a curated record